CUUCACUGAACCCAGCCACAACGGCUGCCCGUCGCGACGUUCCUGGCCAUAGGUGGCCAGCAGCGCCUGCGCCUC
Molecule: antisense RNA, 75 nt
Filed under: Streptomyces sp. MP131-18
Lineage: Bacteria; Bacillati; Actinomycetota; Actinomycetes; Kitasatosporales; Streptomycetaceae
Description: ASpks TB sRNA
Rfam family: ASpks TB sRNA
Source: Rfam by way of RNAcentral